This 775-nucleotide ribosomal RNA is filed under the name uncultured Neocallimastigales. RNAcentral's name for it is "partial large subunit ribosomal RNA". It matches the Rfam family "Eukaryotic large subunit ribosomal RNA", at positions 23 to 631 of the family's 3401-position model. Lineage: Eukaryota; Fungi; Neocallimastigomycota; Neocallimastigomycetes; Neocallimastigales. The record is from RNAcentral.
UAUGUGAUCGUCUCUUGCAUAUCAAUAAGCGGAGGAAAAGAAACUAACAAGGAUUCCCCUAGUAACGGCGAGUGAAGCGGGAAGAGCUCAAAUUUGAAAUCUUAAAGGGUUUCCCUUUACGAAUUGUAGUUUAAAGAAGUGUUUUCUGUUGAGGUUUUGGUAAAAGUUCUUUGGAAUAGGACAUCAUAGAGGGUGAGAAUCCCGUAUUUGACCUUUACUUUCAACUUUGUGAUACACUUUCAAAGAGUCGGAUUGUUUGGGAAUGCAGUCCAAAAUGGGUGGUAAAUUUCAUCUAAAGCUAAAUAUUGGCGAGAGACCGAUAGCGAACAAGUACCGUGAGGGAAAGAUGAAAAGAACUUUGAAAAGAGAGUUAAACAGUACGUGAAAUUGUCAAAAGGGAAGCGUUUGACACCAGUGUUGUUUUUCUGAAAAUCAAUUAAAGAACUGUUUAUGCUAAGUUGUUUAGACUUUAUCAGCUAACUGUUUAGUUUUGAGCUUUUCUUUAAUGCACUUUUCAGUUAACAAGUCAACAUCAAUUUCUUUUGCUGUAAAAAAGCUUGAGGAAGGUGGCUUGAGAUUCGUCUUAAGUGUUUAUAGCCUCUUGCCUAUGCAGUCGGAGAGAUUGAGGUCCUGCAGCGUAGAUCCUUCGGGGCUAAAUGCAUUUGUGCUAAGUUAUAGCAUUUUAUAGACAACUUGCUGACUAUGAUUUGUCUUGUAGCUUACUCGCUUAUGUUAUUUUACCUACGCUUAGGAUGUUGAUCUACAGAGCGAGAGU